RNAcentral lists this ribosomal RNA (253 nucleotides) under uncultured bacterium. Its description in RNAcentral is "partial 16S ribosomal RNA". It matches the Rfam family "Bacterial small subunit ribosomal RNA", at positions 524 to 776 of the family's 1533-position model. The record is from RNAcentral.
UACGUAGGGGGCAAGCGUUGUCCGGAUUUAUUGGGCGUAAAGAGCGUGUAGGCGGCUUUGCAAGUCCGUUGUGAAAACUCGAGGCUCAACCUCGAGACGCCGGUGGAAACUGCAAAGCUAGAGUCCGGAAGAGGAGAGUGGAAUUCCUGGUGUAGCGGUGAAAUGCGCAGAUAUCAGGAAGAACACCCGUGGCGAAGGCGGCUCUCUGGGCCGUAACUGACGCUGAGGAGCGAAAGCGUGGGGAGCGAACAGG